Molecule: ribosomal RNA, 479 nt
Filed under: uncultured Alphaproteobacteria bacterium
Lineage: Bacteria; Pseudomonadati; Pseudomonadota; Alphaproteobacteria
Description: bacterial SSU rRNA
Rfam family: Bacterial small subunit ribosomal RNA
Source: RNAcentral
GAGUUUGAUCGUGGCUCAGAACGAACGCUGGCGGCAUGCCUAACACAUGCAAGUCGAACGGGAUCCAGGCUUCGGCCUGGUGAGAGUGGCGGACGGGUGAGUAACGCGUGGGAACCUGCCCAAUGGUCUGGGAUAACCGCGGGAAACUGCGGCUAAUACCGGAUAAGCCCGAGAGGGGAAAGAUUUAUCGCCGAUGGAGGGGCCCGCGUCCGAUUAGGUAGUUGGUGAGGUAACGGCUCACCAAGCCGACGAUCGGUAGCUGGUCUGAGAGGAUGAUCAGCCACACUGGGACUGAGAUACGGCCCAGACUCCUACGGGAGGCAGCAGUGGGGAAUAUUGGACAAUGGGGGCAACCCUGAUCCAGCAAUGCCGCGUGAGUGAUGAAGGCCUUAGGGUUGUAAAGCUCUUUUGGCGGGGACGAUGAUGACGGUACCCGCAGAAUAAGCCCCGGCUAACUUCGUGCCAGCCGCCGCCGUAAC